Long non-coding RNA from Prionailurus viverrinus (fishing cat), 295 nucleotides. RefSeq lists it as uncharacterized. The transcript has 2 exons. NCBI's taxonomy places the organism in Eukaryota, Metazoa, Chordata, Mammalia, Carnivora, Felidae. The record is from RefSeq and is a predicted model, not a curated record.
GAGACACAUCUCCCAUCACAAGUCAGCGUGCAAGUCCUACACGUCACGAUUCCAUCUUGACCUUGCUUUCACAUUUUGAUUCGUGUGACAUCAGGAUGCUUCCUACAAGUGGUGACAUCUUAGACCUGCUAAAACGUGGCCUAUGAUGACAUCAAAGUCAUGAUGAGAGCAAAGUCCUCAUUUACAAGGAAUAAACACAGGAGGCCAUGAGGAGAUGUAUGCUGGCAGGUUGCAGUAAUGAUUUCUGUUGGCACGAAGAGAAAACUUUAUGCAGCUAUAAAUCUUUGGAAACUUG